Molecule: ribosomal RNA, 440 nt
Filed under: uncultured bacterium
Lineage: Bacteria
Description: partial 16S ribosomal RNA
Rfam family: Bacterial small subunit ribosomal RNA
Source: RNAcentral
CCUACGGGAGGCAGCAGUAGGGAAUAUUGCUCAAUGGGCGAAACCCUGAAGCAGCAACGCCGCGUGGAGGAUGAAGGUUUUCGGAUUGUAAACUCCUUUUGUUAGAGAAGAUAAUGACGGUAUCUAACGAAUAAGCACCGGCUAACACUGUGCCAGCAGCCGCGGUAAUACGGAGGGUGCAAGCGUUACUCGGAAUCACUGGGCGUAAAGAGGGCGUAGGCGGGAUAGCAAGUCAGAUGUGAAAUCCUAUGGCUUAACCAUAGAACUGCAUUUGAAACUGUUAUUCUAGAGUAUGGGAGAGGUAGGUGGAAUUCUUGGUGUAGGGGUAAAAUCCGUAGAGAUCAAGAGGAAUACUCAUUGCGAAGGCGACCUGCUAGAACAUAACUGACGCUGAUGCGCGAAAGCGUGGGGAGCAAACAGGAUUAGAUACCCGAGUAGUC